This 253-nucleotide ribosomal RNA is filed under the name uncultured bacterium. RNAcentral describes it as "partial 16S ribosomal RNA". It matches the Rfam family "Bacterial small subunit ribosomal RNA", at positions 524 to 776 of the family's 1533-position model. The record is from RNAcentral.
UACGAAGGGGGCUAGCGUUGCUCGGAUUUACUGGGCGUAAAGGGCUCGUAGGCGGCCAACUAAGUCAGACGUGAAAUCCCUCAGCUUAACUGGGGAACUGCGUCUGAUACUGGAUGGCUUGGAUUCGGGAGAGGAAUGCGGAAUUCCAGGUGUAGCGGUGAAAUGCGUAGAUAUCUGGAGGAACACCGGUGGCGAAGGCGGCAUUCUGGACCGACAUUGACGCUGAGGAGCGAAAGCCAGGGGAGCAAACGGG